GCUUGAAUAGCUAAGUCAGUAAAGCAUGAGACUCUUAAACUCAGGGUCGUCGUUCGAACUCCACAUUGGGCA
Non-coding RNA from Podarcis lilfordi (Lilford's wall lizard), 72 nucleotides. Lineage: Eukaryota; Metazoa; Chordata; Lepidosauria; Squamata; Lacertidae. The record is from the annotation of a GenBank genome assembly.